UACGUAGGGGGCUAGCGUUGUCCGGAAUCAUUGGGCGUAAAGCGCGCGUAGGCGGCCGGAUAAGUCCGGUGUGAAAGUCACAGGCUCAACCUGUGAAUGCCGCUGGAAACUGUCUGGCUAGAGUCCGGAAGGGGCGAGUGGAAUUCCUGGUGUAGCGGUGAAAUGCGCAGAUAUCAGGAGGAACACCAAUGGCGAAGGCAGCUCGCUGGAACGGUACUGACGCUGAGGCGCGAAAGCGUGGGGAGCGAACAGG
RNAcentral lists this ribosomal RNA (253 nucleotides) under uncultured bacterium. RNAcentral's name for it is "partial 16S ribosomal RNA". It matches the Rfam family "Bacterial small subunit ribosomal RNA", at positions 524 to 776 of the family's 1533-position model. The record is from RNAcentral.